AGAGUUUGAUCAUGGCUCAGAUUGAACGCUGGCGGAAUGCUUUACACAUGCAAGUCGAACGGCAGCACGGGGCAACCUGGUGGCGAGUGGCGAACGGGUAAGUAAUACAUCGGAACGUGCCCAAUCGUGGGGGAUAACGUAGCGAAAGUUACGCUAAUACCGCAUACGAUCUACGGAUGAAAGCGGGGGAUCGCAAGACCUCGCGCGAAUGGAGCGGCCGAUGUCAGAUUAGGUAGUUGGUGGGGUAAAGGCUCACCAAGCCGACGAUCUGUAGCUGGUCUGAGAGGACGACCAGCCACACUGGGACUGAGACACGGCCCAGACUCCUACGGGAGGCAGCAGUGGGGAAUUUUGGACAAUGGGCGCAAGCCUGAUCCAGCCAUUCCGCGUGCAGGAUGAAGGCCUUCGGGUUGUAAACUGCUUUUGUACGGAACGAAACGGUUCUCUCUAAUACAGGUGGCUAAUGACGGUACCGUAAGAAUAAGCACCGGCUAACUACGUG
This 502-nucleotide ribosomal RNA is filed under the name uncultured bacterium. Its description in RNAcentral is "bacterial SSU rRNA". It matches the Rfam family "Bacterial small subunit ribosomal RNA", at positions 8 to 507 of the family's 1533-position model. The record is from RNAcentral.